This 423-nucleotide ribosomal RNA is filed under the name uncultured Alphaproteobacteria bacterium. RNAcentral's name for it is "bacterial SSU rRNA". It matches the Rfam family "Bacterial small subunit ribosomal RNA", at positions 45 to 502 of the family's 1533-position model. The record is from RNAcentral. Lineage: Bacteria; Pseudomonadati; Pseudomonadota; Alphaproteobacteria.
UGCUUUAUACAUGCAAGUCGAACGGAGGCCCUAGCUUGCUAGGUGUCCUUAGUGGCGCACGGGUGAGUAACACGUGGGAACAUACCUCAUAGUACGGAAUAACUGCGGGAAACUGUAGCUAAUACCGUAUAUUCCAGUAAUGGGAAAGAUUUAUCGCUAUGAGAUUGGCCCGCGCAAGAUUAGUUUGUUGGUAAGGUAAUGGCUUACCAAGGCUGCGAUCUUUAGCUGGUUUGAGAGGAUGAUCAGCCACACUGGGACUGAGACACGGCCCAGACUCCUACGGGAGGCAGCAGUAGGGAAUAUUGGACAAUGGGGGCAACCCUGAUCCAGCAAUGCAGCGUGAGUGACGAAGGCCUUAGGGUUGUAAAACUCUUUCAUCGGUGAGGAUAAUGACAGUAGCCGAAGAAGAAGGACCGGCUAAUU